GAUGAACGCUGGCGGCGUGCUUAACACAUGCAAGUCGAACGAAGCAUUUAGAACAGAUUACUUCGGUUUGAAGUUCUUUAUGACUGAGUGGCGGACGGGUGAGUAACGCGUGGGUAACCUGCCUUGUACUGGGGGAUAGCAGCUGGAAACGGCUGGUAAUAGCGCAUAAGCGCACAAUGUUGCAUGACAUGGUGUGAAAAACUCCGGUGGUAUAAGAUGGACCCGCGUCUGAUUAGCUAGUUGGUGAGAUAACAGCCCACCAAGGCGACGAGCAGUAGCCGACCUGGGAGGGUGACCGGCGACAUUGGGACUGAGACACGGCCCAGACUCCUACGGGAAGCAGCAGUGGGGAAUAUUGCACAAUGGAGGAAACUCUGAUGCAGCGACGCCGCGGGAGUGAAGAAGUAAUUCGUUAUGUAAAGCUCUAUCAGCAGGGAAGAUAGUGACGGUACCUGACUAAGAAGCGCCGGCUAAAUACGUG
RNAcentral lists this ribosomal RNA (481 nucleotides) under uncultured bacterium. Its description in RNAcentral is "partial 16S ribosomal RNA". It matches the Rfam family "Bacterial small subunit ribosomal RNA", at positions 28 to 507 of the family's 1533-position model. The record is from RNAcentral.